AAAAGAAAGACGGAAAAUUCAUAUAUCAGUAUCAGUUCAUUCAAUUAGAGGUUGUUUAAACUUGUCCCAUCUCAGAUAUCUUUUAAGAGUCUGUGGUUAACUUUAACACGGAACACAUGGAAUACCAUAAAAUAAUACCAAGAAAUGAGGAAAGAGGCGUUACAGAAGAAGACGAAACUGUUUUCAACAUUAGAAAAAGGAAUAGUUCAACAAAAAUGGACAUGCAAAGGAAAAGAAUUAAAGCUUUAAAGAAGCGAGUUAGAGUAACAGCGCACAGAAGCCUUAAUAAAGGGAUUAUAAAAAGUAGAAAACAUCAAACAAAGAGACUGAAAGGUAAA
This is a long non-coding RNA of Saccostrea cuccullata (small rock oyster), 338 nucleotides long. RefSeq lists it as uncharacterized. The record is from RefSeq and is a predicted model, not a curated record. Lineage: Eukaryota; Metazoa; Mollusca; Bivalvia; Ostreida; Ostreidae. The transcript is spliced from 3 exons.